This 74-nucleotide ribosomal RNA is filed under the name Timarcha cerdo. RNAcentral's name for it is "partial 5.8S ribosomal RNA". The record is from RNAcentral. Lineage: Eukaryota; Metazoa; Arthropoda; Insecta; Coleoptera; Chrysomelidae.
GAACAUCGACAUUUCGAACGCACAUAGCGGNCCUCGGAUACUGUUCCCGGACCACUCCUGGCUGAGGGUCGUAU